Molecule: ribosomal RNA, 376 nt
Filed under: uncultured organism
Description: bacterial SSU rRNA
Rfam family: Bacterial small subunit ribosomal RNA
Source: RNAcentral
CGUAGGGACCGAGCGUUGUCCGGAUUCAUUGGGCGUAAAGAGCUCGUAGGCGGCCACUCAAGUCGAAUGUGAAACCUCGAGGCUUAACCUCGAGCCUGCAUUCGAUACUGGGCGGCUAGAGUCUGGUAGGGGGAUCUGGAAUUCCUGGUGUAGCGGUGGAAUGCGCAGAUAUCAGGAGGAACACCGGUGGCGAAGGCGGGAUCCUGGGCCAGUACUGACGCUGAGGAGCGAAAGCGUGGGGAGCAAACAGGAUUAGAUACCCUGGUAGUCCACGCCGUAAACGAGUGGGCGCUAGGUGUGGGAGGUCAUCGACUCCUUCCGUGCCGCAGCUAACGCAUUAAGCGCCCCGCCGUGGGGAGUACGGCCGCAAGGACUA